UGGGGAAUAUUGCACAAUGGGCGCAAGCCUGAUGCAGCCAUGCCGCGUGUAUGAAGAAGGCCUUCGGGUUGUAAAGUACUUUCAGCGAGGAGGAAGGCGUUGUGGUUAAUAACCGCAACGAUUGACGUUACUCGCAGAAGAAGCACCGGCUAACUCCGUGCCAGCAGCCGCGGUAACACGGAGGGUGCAAGCGUUAAUCGGAAUUACUGGGCGUAAAGCGCACGCAGGCGGUCUGUCAAGUCGGAUGUGAAAUCCCCGGGCUCAACCUGGGAACUGCAUCCGAAACUGGCAGGCUAGAGUCUUGUAGAGGGGGGUAGAAUUCCAGGUGUAGCGGUGAAAUGCGUAGAGAUCUGGAGGAAUACCGGUGGCGAAGGCGGCCCCCUGGACAAAGACUGACGCUCAGGUGCGAAAGCGUGGGGAGCAAACA
Molecule: ribosomal RNA, 427 nt
Filed under: uncultured bacterium
Lineage: Bacteria
Description: partial 16S ribosomal RNA
Rfam family: Bacterial small subunit ribosomal RNA
Source: RNAcentral